RNAcentral lists this ribosomal RNA (273 nucleotides) under uncultured Staphylococcus sp. Its description in RNAcentral is "partial 16S ribosomal RNA". It matches the Rfam family "Bacterial small subunit ribosomal RNA", at positions 89 to 355 of the family's 1533-position model. The record is from RNAcentral. Lineage: Bacteria; Bacillati; Bacillota; Bacilli; Caryophanales; Staphylococcaceae.
ACGUUAGCGGCGGACGGGUGAGUAACACGUGGGUAACCUACCUAUAAGACUGGGAUAACUCCGGGAAACCGGGGCUAAUACCGGAUAACACAUGAAACCGCAUGGUUUCAUGAUGAAAGACGGUUUUGCUGUCACUUAUAGAUGGACCCGCGGCGUAUUAGCUAGUUGGUAAGGUAACGGCUUACCAAGGCAACGAUACGUAGCCGACCUGAGAGGGUGAUCGGCCACACUGGAACUGAGACACGGUCCAGACUCCUACGGGAGGCAGCAGUA